GAUGAAGAACGUAGCGAAAUGCGAUAAGUAAUGCGAAUUGCAGAAUUCCAGUGAAUCAUCGAAUCUUUGAACGCACAUUGCGCCCUUUGGUAUUCCAAAGGGCAUGCCUGUUCGAGCGUCAUUUGUACCCUCAAGCUUUGCUUGGUGUUGGGCGUCUUGUCUCUAGCUUUGCUGGAGACUCGCCUUAAAGUAAUUGGCAGCCGGCCUACUGGUUUCGGAGCGCAGCACAAGUCGCACUCUCUAUCAGCAAAGGUCUAGCAUCCAUUAAGCCUUUUUUUCAACUUUUGACCUCGGAUCAGGUAGGGAUACCCGCUGAACUUAAGCAUAUCAAUAAGCGGAGGA
This 342-nucleotide unclassified non-coding RNA is filed under the name soil metagenome. RNAcentral's name for it is "partial contains 5.8S ribosomal RNA, internal transcribed spacer 2, and large subunit ribosomal RNA". The stretch from base 1 to 121 matches the Rfam family "5.8S ribosomal RNA", at positions 35 to 154 of the family's 154-position model. The record is from RNAcentral.